RNAcentral lists this ribosomal RNA (915 nucleotides) under uncultured archaeon. RNAcentral describes it as "bacterial SSU rRNA". It matches the Rfam family "Archaeal small subunit ribosomal RNA", at positions 1 to 922 of the family's 1478-position model. The record is from RNAcentral.
UUUCCGGUUGAUCCCGCCGGACCUGACUGCUAUCGGAUUGAUACUAAGCCAUGCGAGUCAUUGUAGCAAUACAAGGCAGACGGCUCAGUAACGCGUAGUCAACCUACCCUAUGGACGGGAAUAACCUCGGGAAACUGAGUAUAAUGCCCGAUAGAACACUAUACCUGGAAUGGUUUGUGUUUCAAAUGAUUUAUUGCCGUAGGAUGGGACUGCGGCCUAUCAGUUUGUUGGUGAGGUAAUGGCCCACCAAGACUAUUACAGGUACGGGCUCUGAGAGGAGUGGCCCGGAGAUGGGUACUGAGACACGGACCCAGGCCCUAUGGGGCGCAGCAGGCGAGAAAACUUUGCAAUGUGCGAAAGCACGACAAGGUUAAUCCGAGUGGUUUCUGCUAAAGGAACCUUUUGACAGUCCUAGAAACACUGUUGAAUAAGGGGUGGGCAAGUUCUGGUGUCAGCCGCCGCGGUAAAACCAGCACCUCAAGUGGUCAGGAUGAUUAUUGGGCCUAAAGCAUCCGUAGCCGGCUCAGUAAGUUUUCGGUUAAAUCUGUACGCUUAACGUACAGGCUGCCGGGAAUACUGCAGAGCUAGGGAGUGGGAGAGGUAGACGGUACUCGGGAGGAAGUGGUAAAAUGCUUUGAUCUUUCGAUGACCACCUGUGGCGAAGGCGGUCUACCAGAACACGUCCGACGGUGAGGGAUGAAAGCUGGGGGAGCAAACCGGAUUAGAUACCCGGGUAGUCCCAGCUGUAAACUAUGCAAACUCAGUGAUGCAUUGGCUUGUGGCCAAUGCAGUGUUGCAGGGAAGCCGUUAAGUUUGCCGCCUGGGAAGUACGUACGCAAGUAUGAAACUUAAAGGAAUUGGCGGGGGAGCACCACAAGGGGUGAAGCCUGCGGUUCAAUUGGAUUCAACGCCGGA